GGAAUCUGGGAGGACCAUCUCCUAAGGCUAAAUACUCUCUAGUGACCGAUAGUGAACCAGUACCGUGAGGGAAAGGUGAAAAGCACCCCGGAAGGGGAGUGAAAUAGAACCUGAAACCGUGUGCUUACAAGUAGUCAGAGCCCGUUAAUGGGUGAUGGCGUGCCUUUUGUAGAAUGAACCGGCGAGUUACGAUUUGAUGCAAGGUUAAGCAGUAAAUGUGGAGCCGUAGCGAAAGCGAGUCUGAAUAGGGCGUUUAGUAUUUGGUCGUAGACCCGAAACCAGGUGAUCUACCCUUGGUCAGGUUGAAGUUCAGGUAACACUGAAUGGAGGACCGAACCGACUUACGUUGAAAAGUGAGCGGAUGAACUGAGGGUAGCGGAGAAAUUCCAAUCGAACCUGGAGAUAGCUGGUUCUCUCCGAAAUAGCUUUAGGGCUAGCCUCAAGUGAUGAUUAUUGGAGGUAGAGCACUGUUUGGACGAGGGGCCCCUCUCGGGUUACCGAAUUCAGACAAACUCCGAAUGCCAAUUAAUUUAACUUGGGAGUCAGAACAUGGGUGAUAAGGUCCGUGUUCGAAAGGGAAACAGCCCAGACCACCAGCUAAGGUCCCAAAAUAUAUGUUAAGUGGAAAAGGAUGUGGCGUUGCCCAGACAACUAGGAUGUUGGCUUAGAAGCAGCCAUCAUUUAAAGAGUGCGUAAUAGCUCACUAGUCGAGUGACACUGCGCCGAAAAUGUACCGGGGCUAAACAUAUUACCGAAGCUGUGGAUUGUCCUUUGGACAAUGGUAGGAGAGCGUUCUAAGGGCGUUGAAGCAUGAUCGUAAGGACAUGUGGAGCGCUUAGAAGUGAGAAUGCCGGUGUGAGUAGCGAAAGACGGGUGAGAAUCCCGUCCACCGAUUGACUAAGGUUUCCAGAGGAAGGCUCGUCCGCUCUGGGUUAGUCGGGUCCUAAGCUGAGGCCGACAGGCGUAGGCGAUGGAUAACAGGUUGAUAUUCCUGUACCACCUAUAAUCGUUUUAAUCGAUGGGGGG
RNAcentral lists this ribosomal RNA (1026 nucleotides) under Staphylococcus aureus S130. Its description in RNAcentral is "bacterial LSU rRNA". It matches the Rfam family "Bacterial large subunit ribosomal RNA", at positions 439 to 1471 of the family's 2925-position model. Lineage: Bacteria; Bacillati; Bacillota; Bacilli; Caryophanales; Staphylococcaceae. The record is from RNAcentral.